UGUGGUGUGGCUCAGUGGACGAGCACUUGCCUAGCAUGUGUGAAGCCCUGAGUUCGAUCCUCAGCACCACAU
Molecule: transfer RNA, 72 nt
Filed under: Ictidomys tridecemlineatus (thirteen-lined ground squirrel)
Lineage: Eukaryota; Metazoa; Chordata; Mammalia; Rodentia; Sciuridae
Description: Spermophilus tridecemlineatus (thirteen-lined ground squirrel) tRNA
Rfam family: tRNA
About the family: Transfer RNA (tRNA) molecules are approximately 80 nucleotides in length. Their secondary structure includes four short double-helical elements and three loops (D, anti-codon, and T loops). Further hydrogen bonds mediate the characteristic L-shaped molecular structure. tRNAs have two regions of fundamental functional importance: the anti-codon, which is responsible for specific mRNA codon recognition, and the 3' end, to which the tRNAs corresponding amino acid is attached (by aminoacyl-tRNA synthetases). tRNAs cope with the degeneracy of the genetic code in two manners: having more than one tRNA (with a specific anti-codon) for a particular amino acid; and 'wobble' base-pairing, i.e. permitting non-standard base-pairing at the 3rd anti-codon position.
Source: Rfam by way of RNAcentral